GACGAACGCUGGCGGCGUGCUUAACACAUGCAAGUCGAACGGAAAGGCCCUGCUUGCAGGGUACUCGAGUGGCGAACGGGUGAGUAACACGUGGGUGAUCUGCCCUGCACUUCGGGAUAAGCCUGGGAAACUGGGUCUAAUACCGGAUAGGAGCCCUUUUUAGUGUGAUGGUUGGAAAGUUUUUUCGGUGUAGGAUGAGCUCGCGGCCUAUCAGCUUGUUGGUGGGGUAAUGGCCUACCAAGGCGGCGACGGGUAGCCGGCCUGAGAGGGUGGACGGCCACAUUGGGACUUAGAUACGGCCCAGACUCCUACGGGAGGCAGCAGUGGGGAAUAUUGCACAAUGGGCGCAAGCCUGAUGCAGCGACGCCGCGUGGGGGAUGACGGCCUUCGGGUUGUAAACUCCUUCCGCUAGGGACGAAGCUUUUUGUGACGGUACCUAGAUAAGAAGCACCGGCUAACUACGUG
Molecule: ribosomal RNA, 465 nt
Filed under: uncultured bacterium
Lineage: Bacteria
Description: partial 16S ribosomal RNA
Rfam family: Bacterial small subunit ribosomal RNA
Source: RNAcentral